AUGUUAAACCCGUACAAAUUCACUUUUUAAUUGGAUCCGUUGUUCCGCGCUACAACAGCGGCGACACCUCCGUAACACUCCGUCGUGACCGCAUCGCCGCACAACCUUGCCGCCAAGAGCCGCUCGCCACCGUGACCAACACCGCACCAUUCUUCGCAUUCCGUUGUGACCGUAGCAUCACCAUCGGCCGCCGCGAAUCAGUGGUCGUUGACGCACCGCCUAGUGCCACCGUCUACCACCACGGAUCCCACUCGCAUUCUGUUCAAGUCAGUUUGGUUCAACAUCAGCCGUGAGUAAGCCGUGAAUCACCCAUGUUGCUCACCUUGAUUAAGUUCUGUAUGAUCAUCUGAGGUCCGUUGACUAAUUUCGGACGAUUUGAUUUGCCUUUGCUUUUUCCUUGCUAAAGUUAAGGUAAUUUGGGAAACGUGGGGAAUAAGUGAAGAGUGCCAUGAAGAUAAAGAUUUAUUUUCUUAUUUCGGUAAUGUAAAAAAAAUGUAAUUAGGAUCUUUUAUUUCAACUUUAUGGAUUAGUUUUAGUUUUGA
This is a long non-coding RNA of Helianthus annuus (common sunflower), 542 nucleotides long. RefSeq lists it as uncharacterized. The record is from RefSeq and is a predicted model, not a curated record. Lineage: Eukaryota; Viridiplantae; Streptophyta; Magnoliopsida; Asterales; Asteraceae. The transcript is spliced from 3 exons.